GUUAAAAAUGUGUUUGAAGGCAGUAUGCUUGGUAAAAGUCAUCGCCAUUCUCUAAUCUCGAGUACCCAGGGACACAAUGCACUGCGGAAGGCCACAGGGACCUCUGCCCAGGAAAGCCAGGCUUGCGUUAAGGAAAUGAUUUCCUAUGAUUCUGCUUACUGCUUAAAAAAAUUAAUCAAGUUUUCUGCCUGACAAGAUCCAGUAUCUGCUGGAGGAGCCCCACCUUCUGCUACUAUUAUGUUCUUCAGAUGAGUAGAAGAGAGUGGGGAGGGAGAGAGCAGGAAGAGGAAAGGAAGAAUAAUGUCUUGAAAUUGUUUUCUAAGGAUAAUGGUCUUCAGCUUCAUCCAUGUUCCUGCAAAGGACAUGAUGCUGACUUUGAAGAUGCAAGCUUCCACAUCUACAGCCUCAAGGAAACAAAUUCAGCCAACCACCUGAGGGAGCUUUCCUUGUCCUGCCUCAAGAUGAGAUCACAGUCUGUCCAACACCAUGAUUUAAGCCUUGUGACACCUGGUAUGGAAAACCCAGCUAAACUCUCUCCAAACUCUUGACCCACAGAACCUGUGAGAAAAUAUAUGGAUAUUAUUUUAAACUGCUAAAUUUGUGGUAAUUUGUUAUGCAGCAAUAAAAAAACUAAUGCAAGGAGAUAUAGAUUAUUGUAAAAAUCUUAGCUUUUGUUUUAAAAUAUAGUUCACCAGUAGUAAGUUACUAAUAAGUAACUAAACAAAUAAAAGCAAGCCAUUUACAAAUCAAUAAUAAGUCAUGAACUAAAGAUUGUAAUUAAUCAAUUUCUGUACUCCUGUAAUGAAAAUAAAGGAGGAAAAGAAAA
Molecule: long non-coding RNA, 826 nt
Organism: Nomascus leucogenys (northern white-cheeked gibbon)
Lineage: Eukaryota; Metazoa; Chordata; Mammalia; Primates; Hylobatidae
Exons: 4
Source: RefSeq, a predicted model, not a curated record